Long non-coding RNA from Zeugodacus cucurbitae (melon fly), 6074 nucleotides. RefSeq lists it as uncharacterized. The record is from RefSeq and is a predicted model, not a curated record. NCBI's taxonomy places the organism in Eukaryota, Metazoa, Arthropoda, Insecta, Diptera, Tephritidae. The transcript is spliced from 3 exons.
CACCAUAAAGUAAAACGGGAAUGAUAAGCGACUUACGUACUUCAAGUAAAUACAUUUUGAAAAUGAUGUUUUCCGUCAAAAGGAUGUUAUAAAGAAAGGUCUUAAAAGAAAAUGGUUAACUACUUUUGGUUUGAUGGAGCAACGGUAACCUUUAUAAACUACUAUAUAAUAGCCACGUUCAGUUGUAGGUAUAAGAACUAGAUCUCUUGGUAUUCGAUUAAUCGUCUAACCGAAUUAACCGGAGAGAGCAUUCGAAUAAUAAUAUUCGGGUUACAGUAUCCGGAUAGUCGUAAGUUGUCAACUAUUCGAUUACCGGAGCAACUAUUCGAUUCGUCGCUAUGUUACGACUAUUCGAUAGUAUUACACGGUUAACAUUCAUACGAACGGUUACAAACCGGAUAUUCGAUUAAUCGGUUUUCGGGUUAUACGAAUAAUUUUAAGAGCCCUAAUAUGAACCGUUAACUUGAUAUUCGUUAAUAAGGACCCAAACAAGUUUUAUCCACCUUACUUCCCCUUAAAUGAGAUUUCGACUGGGAGCCAAGUGUUUUAUGUAAUAAUUUCAUAUGACUCGACAAUAGUACCAGAUGAUAAUAUACAGACGACGAAAUUCCUAAAAAUUAUAUUUAUGGACUUAUGACAAUUAUAUAAUUGAAGACUUGCAGUACUCAACUCAAGAAUUUUAUGAGUCACCAUUAUGCAUUACGUAUUUAGGCAGUGUCUACCAAACGUCAGUCGCACACGUUUCAUCGCUUCUGAGACCUUAUCAAAUAUACCUACUGUGCGCAAUACUAACUAUUUAAUAUGUUUAUCCACAUGGUGACCCAUAAUUUAUUUAUGCUGAAAUUUAUAAUUAAAUAUUUUUUUAUUCCCGACUAUUUUCGUUCACCUUCAGGCAGCCUUGUCAUACACGUCUACAGCGCUUACAUAAAUACUAAGAACUUUGAUAGCCUCAUUUGACAAAGAAGCGAUUCUUGGAACCCGCGGCCCACUGCUGGAAAGCAUGCAAAUAUGCAAGGCACCCAUUAAAAACUCCACCGACCGACUCUAACUACAUUAACUAAUACUCCAAGCAAGCGGGAUUGGCGCGGCCGAGGGCGCGAGCCAAGUGGGCGCAGCAAAUCAAACGUGUUAAUUGUGGAUUGUGACGAAAAGGGGACGGUGGUGGACACGACGACAACGCAAGUGUCCACAGCUCAAAGUUUGUUAUUACAGCUGUGUGCAUAAAACGCUCGACGCGUUGGCGAUAUGAAUCGUACACAUGUGCUGACAUGUUUUAGCUAUUGGAGCUCCUGGCUGUUGGAGUUUUUCAUCAUAAAAUGUUGUUAUUUAUUGAGUUAAUAAAUUAAAAUGCAAGUUGUGUGCAGCGUGUGUCAACACUCCGAAAAAGCGGACAUUCCAACUCGUUUCGCAGCGGGCGGAUGCGCAUUGCACUUGCGGCACCAUUACGGUCGCUCGUCUUUACUCGACUCGCGGCGUCGUCCGCUCUGCCACACCAAUUGACCAAUUAAGAAGUUACGGAAUGUGCGAAGCGCCAAGAACACACCAAAAAUAAUGAUGGUGGGAGACGUGAAAAGUGCACGCUUGGUGGUGGUUGUGCGGUCGCGGGUGUUUAUGUGUUAACAUGCGGCAUUUUGUUGCUGGAAAUGCUACGAUGGAUCCACACUGAGAUUUUUUGUAUGCAAAGCCUAGCGCACAUUAAUUUAAAAGACAGAAAGGGAACGACGCACUUACAAAUGGGCAAAUAUAAAGAAUGAAAUAAGUAAGAAAGUGCUAGGGUUCGGGCGGAACGGAUGAAUAUGUGUAUCCACGAUUGCGAAGAAAAUAAUAUAUAUAAUCACGUUAGAUUAGAUUGUAUUGCUGUUCCCCAGAGGAGAAUCACAAUAAACGAUGAAAGACGGUCCUCUUUGUGAAUUCCGGGAUCAGGAUCCGACAAAGCGCCCUAAACCAACUACAAAUCUGCAUAGAUUUUUCACUUCUAUAUCCACUAUUUCGCGUGGUUGUUCGAAAAAUUGAGUUCCGAGAAAUCUUUGUAUUGAUCUCGCAAAGGCGAGACAUUCAAGAUGAAAAUGGGUGUCAUUGAACUCAUCCUAAGGACAGGCCCACCAUUUCAGCAGUAAACUGCAAUAUGACAACGGUAAUCCUACAUGUUCCCAUGCUAACAUUAGUGAGACAGAUGUACCUUACCUUGCAAGAUCAUUAGCCUUACAAUUUCCCGCGGUUCCCCUGUGGCCAUGAGCCCAGACCAGUCUAAUUGAAAAGUUAAACGACGCCACUGUUAGUGAAGAUAAGAUUUGCUUAACCAACUUUGACCGCAUACUCAACGAACUCAAGGACAGUACCGCCGCUCUACUAUCAGAGCGAAUCGGCACCUCGCUAAAGGUUGAUACGCUCCGGAACAAUAUAUCCGCCAAUGACAUGGUUACAUCGGCUAAGAAGUCUCCUCAAAUAAUUAGUUCUCAGUCUAUUAAAUUUUCCAUUUUAAAGGCAAAUAGUUAUACAAAGAAGACCUCACAUUUUCGUUCUAAACACAAAACUAUAAUACCCUACGUGCAACAUUUGACAUGGGGUACAGUAAAGUACGAGCGAUCGAAUAAACAAUAAGACCCUCAUUUAUCGGUAAAUACGACUGUAUGUGUGCGCAAAGCAUACAAGCUUGCAAACAUGUCAACCAAAAAAUCAAAUUGUUCGCUUAAAUAACCAUUUCAGUGUUCGUUCUUUGUUUUUAUUGUUGUUGUUUUUUACUGUAAGUAUUAUUAUUUUUAAAACGUUACUCCUUAUCGCACGUCCAUCCGCAUGCCUCACAGUGAUGAUAAGCAUCGCGCGUUUGAACAGUCUCUGAUUGCCACCGCCGCGUUGGGUCAUAAGCGUACCCAGAACACAAGCGCGCAACACACUCUACGGACCCUAUGUUGGAGUUGUUAGUUACCACCAAAUACCCGGACACAGAACACACACUUGCAUGGCAAUAAAACAAAGCAUAAUUGUACAAAUUAAAAAAUAAGAAAAAUAAAGUAGACAAAAUGAAAAAAAGCGUGUUAACGCGUUGUAACCGCCAAGUCUACGCCACAAUUUAUACUCCACAAAUAGGCAAGGUAACCACGACGAUUGAGCUCUACGGCCUUCGCAAGUGUGCUGCGCAUGCGCAAUGAAGUUGGAAAACCAAUCAAGCGAUCAACCGAUCGACAGCAAUGCGCCACAAAACAAACGUUGCCGCUCGUGCAACAACAACAACACGCACACGCUCAUGUGCACAAACAAACGACUCGUCGUCGUUGCAUUGUCGUUGCAUUAAUGACUCUUUUGAUGGAUGCAGCCAAAAAGGUUGCGGCAUUUAGCGCCUACACUGUGGUGGGGAGUAAACACUAAAGACACUAGGCGUUGACAUUAAAUAAUUGAUGUUUCGGUAUUUUUGUGGCAAUACAAACAAAGCGCGCAGAGAACAACGCGAAGGCGGCGACGUAAUGUGUUUGGGCAAGUGCAUGUGACAAUAGAAGGCAUUGAUCGAUUGCGUUUGAUGCGAUUGGUAUAAUGAUUCAAUUGGUUGCUGAAUGGUCUGAGUUCUCAAUGUAACGCGAUAGAUGGCGCUGGUUACGACAAACUUUUAAGAAGAAUAAGGUGUGCGAUCAGGUUUCCAAGGAAGGACCUCUCCGAACCGUUCGAUACCAAACGAGGUUUCAGACAAGGCGACCCUCUAUCGACCGAUUUCUUUAAGCUAAUGCUUAGAAGAUAAUUCGCGCUGCAGAUCUUAACCGUACUGGCACUAUAUUUUUCAAGAGUCACCAAUUAUUGACCUAUGCAGACGAUAUCGAUGAUAUUUUCAAACCUGGAAAAAGAAGCUAAGCAAAUAGGUCUAAAAGUGAACGAGGGCAAAACGAAGUACACACCUCCUGUAAUCACGCAAGAGGUCUCAGCGAUUAGAAGAUCACGACACUGUUGGUGGUAACCCACCAUUUCGGGAUGGAAAACGACUUUGUCUAACUAAGUUCCAGCAUAAACACAAACAACGUCAUCAGCCAGGAAAUCAAUUGGAGGAUCACUCGUGUCAUCAUGUGCUAUUACGGGCUCAGUAGGCAAUUGAAAAGCAGAGCCCUCUCUCGUAAAGCCAAAGUACCGCUCUAUAAGUCACUCAUCAUACUCGUUCUGAUGCAUGGUGCGGAAGCAUGGACGAUGACCAACAAAGAAAAGCACUCCUUAGGACCGUUCGACAACAAAUGACCCGCUACACGGGGCGUGAGUACCGGGUUCGUUGGAGAAUCUUCGGCGAUAUGGACAUAAAAAUACAGCGGUUGCGCUGGCUUGGGUUUAUCGCCCGAAUGAAAGAAAACACUCCAUCGCGUAAGAUGUACGAUACGGUAAGGACGAUCGAAACUCAUAUAGAAGGCUCAAGCGGAUGUAGACCUGGCGAAGCUUGAAAUCCUCAACCGACGCCGUCGUGCGCAAUGCAAAGACGCCUGUCAAAGGCGUAUUGACGCUGUCAAAAUCGACAUCCGGUUGAGUGCCAAAUUAAUGACAAUUAAAGUGAUUUAUUUAUAUGAACAAUGACAGUUUUGAGGAAACAGCAAAUCUAAUAAGAAUUCGAAACAAGUAAUUUGCAGGCGAUGCAUUUAGUGAGGUGCCUUAAGGCCAGCUUUUGGUCAGAUGAAACCACAAAACGGAAAGAUCAAGAUCGUUAAUGAAUCAAACUGCUGUCCUCGUUCCUAAUACUGGGAUCGAUAUCUAACAGAGCUCGUUCUAAAGACCGCAAUGUAAUUCUCGGACCCUGUUGAUUAAAAAAUGCCAUAAAGAAGCAUUUUUAUGAUUUUCAUUAGAACUUGGGAUGUUAUGUUACUUAGAAUCGGUAUAAAGUCAAAUAUCUCAUAGUACAAUUAGUGUAAUUUCUAAAAUUAUUUAAAGAACGAACAGGCAAUUUUUAAUUUCCUGGACUAUCCAUUUCCGUUUUAACAAGCAAAUAAAGCUUUAACGCGAAUAAUGAUUUGAAGCUUCUCAAUUCUUUAAUGCUAUAUAAACAAUCGUUAGAUAAACGAAGCCAUUAUUUUUGCAUGUCUAUAAAAAGUUUAAUUAUUUUUAACUUAUCACAAUAAUCAGUGUUUCGUAAAAUGACAGAGUCAUAAAUCACGUCAUUUAAAGAACUACCGUUAUACCGAUAAGAACAAAAUGUUUAUUGCACAAUGAAAAUAGCACGUAUACCUAGUUAACUAACGAACUAACUACUACUACUAACUAGUAUAAAUAUGUAAUAAUAAUAUGUAUACAUUCAUAUGCCGAUAUUUAUUGGAACAGAUUCGUUGAAAACGUUAAAUUAAUUGAAAUGUUUAAACAUUCCAGGUUUUUUAGGAUUAUCAAACAUAUUUUUUGUCAAAAUAUUGUCAAUUGAUGAUGUUGAUGUGUUGCCCGUUGAGUUUAGUUCUGUUCGCAUUUUCUCGCGCUCAGUAUUCUGAAGAGCUGAUUUCCCACUGCAAAAUAAUAUAAUUUAAUUAGUAAUAGUAAUUAGGGUUAAAAGAUCUACUCUACUAUUUACUGUUACUUACAUUUAGUACCCUUCAGCGCACAAUUGUAUAUAUCCAAUUGGCAGGCGGUGGCGAUGGUGACACGAUAUUCGCCAUUCGAAAUACAUACUGGAUCAUAAAUCAUCGGACAGGGUUUCAAGCAUUCCUCUUUGUUCAAAUUGUCAGCCGCAUUGCCCACAACUUCAUAGAGGUUAUCUAUCAAUUUCGUACUGCACCAAUCGUUAUCGGUCUGUGCGAAGGCUGUAAAGAUAAUUUUAAAAAUUCCAUGAAUUUCAGAAAGUCUAAUGAGGUGGCGCGCGCACUUAGAAUGGUUACUCACGUUUUUUGAGCGAAGCGCGUUCCUUCCUGCGCUCGCAAUUAGUCACCUCCAGCAUACAGGGAUUGGAGAAUUGCUGAUAUUCAGCGCCGUCAAAGCCACAGAGGGGCGCAUACAAUAAGGGACAGAUCGAUGGGCAUGGCUGGUCGUCCUGGUUCUGGUCCGUAUCUAAAGGCGCCUCAUCAGCGAGUGUUGUUAUUGUAUUGGCAUUGCAGAAGGCCAACAAAGCGGCAAAUAUCCAGGAAUUUUUA